This 253-nucleotide ribosomal RNA is filed under the name uncultured bacterium. RNAcentral's name for it is "partial 16S ribosomal RNA". It matches the Rfam family "Bacterial small subunit ribosomal RNA", at positions 524 to 776 of the family's 1533-position model. The record is from RNAcentral.
UACGGGGGGGGCAAGCGUUGUUCGGAAUUACUGGGCGUAAAGGGCUCGUAGGCGGCCAACUAAGUCGGAUGUGAAAUCCCCAGGCUUAACCUGGGAACUGCAUCCGAUACUGGAUGGCUUGAAUCCGGGAGAGGGAUGCAGAAUUCCAGGUGUAGCGGUGAAAUGCGUAGAGAUGUGGAGGAAUACCGAUGGCGAAGGCAGCCCCCUGGGAUAACACUGACGCUCAUGCACGAAAGCGUGGGGAGCAAACAGG